AUUGCAGUUCUCAGCUAUAAACCAGUGAGCCAGAGGCCUGGACCCUCCCACCUGCCUCUGCGAUUUCAAAUCCCUCAGGCUGGUUUCGUCAUCCACCAAAGAGAAAAGUAACAGUGGAAAGUGAAUCGUCUCUACCUGUGGGAAACCUGAAGCAUCUAAACCCAGACACGAAAUAACCUGCUCAGCAAAGCCACACUUGAUGAUUAAGAAGCCUCUUUACUCACGGCUCCCUCUCCAACCCAGAGGCUCCCAGGACACAGCUUGGUUCUGCUCAGGUUUCCUGCAGCACUCAGAGCAGCAUCCCUCCCUCCUUCCUGUGAGACCGCCAUGACCUCCUUGUGUCUACCUGAGGCAUAGCUGUGACAGUUGGCACUUGGAACUUCCACGAGGUGAAGAUGGAUCUGGUUCAUGAGGCUUGUUUUCAAUUCUUUGUGAACCACAAGCCCUCACACUGCAAGAUUGUCAUGACAACCUGUCAGGAUGGCAGCCAGGAGGAUUCCAGAGACAGGAAACACAGGCUCCACCACUUCCCGCCAUCCCCCAACCACCACCACAUUCUAUAGCACCUUUGCAACUGGAGUACAAUGUCCUCGAGAAUGUCACAACAAACUGAAAACUAUCAGACAUCCAAAUGGACUUCGAAUUACUCUGAAUCUGACAGCAGUGCCCAUUGGACUUGCAUGAUGCCUAACUGCUAUUUAGUUCAGUGACUGUGACUAGCAUGCCUGGAAAGAAUGAGAAUAUUCCAGAAACAUUUUGCUUUUCCAUUUGGCCACCAGACUAUUCAAACAAUACACCCCAAGAAAUUGGAAUUCCAUAAGAAUUUCACGCUGGGAAAAGAAAAAGACUGAAGACUGGGCCAGUCUGAAGCGGAAUUUGUCACCUCAAAAGAGACUUACAACUUGUCAGACCAUCUUGUAGAAACUACUGGAGUCCAGACAAUGAUGAGCUGUGGACAUCAAGGGGCCAUACGUUGUCUGUGCACAUCUCUAGCCCUCUGCUUAAACGUAAACCUCAUCCCAGGGUCUUGAAGAUGAUGUGUGGGGAUAUCAUCGAAUUUCUUUGUUCCUUUUCUCAAGGUGGCCCCACUGAGUAAAUGUUUUUCCGCUUUUUGCUAUUGUUUAACUGGGUUGGUGAAGACGAGUAAAGGAACCUGGCUUAUGGUG
This is a long non-coding RNA of Mastomys coucha (southern multimammate mouse), 1166 nucleotides long. RefSeq lists it as uncharacterized. The record is from RefSeq and is a predicted model, not a curated record. Lineage: Eukaryota; Metazoa; Chordata; Mammalia; Rodentia; Muridae. The transcript has 5 exons.